GGGGACAUAGCUCUAAUUGGUAGAGCAGCGGAUUCCAAAUCCGACGGUUGGGGGUUCGAAUCCCUCUGGCCCCGCCA
RNAcentral lists this transfer RNA (77 nucleotides) under Alteromonas mediterranea. RNAcentral's name for it is "tRNA-Trp". It matches the Rfam family "tRNA". Rfam says of the family: Transfer RNA (tRNA) molecules are approximately 80 nucleotides in length. Their secondary structure includes four short double-helical elements and three loops (D, anti-codon, and T loops). Lineage: Bacteria; Pseudomonadati; Pseudomonadota; Gammaproteobacteria; Alteromonadales; Alteromonadaceae. The record is from RNAcentral. RNAcentral also lists the same sequence under 1 other name.